Non-coding RNA from Ailuropoda melanoleuca (giant panda), 84 nucleotides. NCBI's taxonomy places the organism in Eukaryota, Metazoa, Chordata, Mammalia, Carnivora, Ursidae. The record is from Rfam.
GCCUGGGUGGCUCAGUCGGUGAAGCGUCUGCCUUCAGCUCAGGUCAUGAUCCCAGAGUCUUGGGAUCGAGCCCCACACCAGGCU